This 354-nucleotide ribosomal RNA is filed under the name uncultured Pseudomonas sp. RNAcentral's name for it is "bacterial SSU rRNA". It matches the Rfam family "Bacterial small subunit ribosomal RNA", at positions 1030 to 1382 of the family's 1533-position model. The record is from RNAcentral. Lineage: Bacteria; Pseudomonadati; Pseudomonadota; Gammaproteobacteria; Pseudomonadales; Pseudomonadaceae.
UGACACAGGUGCUGCAUGGCGUGUCGUCAGCUCGUGCCGUGAGAUGUUGGGUUAAGUCCGUAACGAGCGCAACCCUUGUCCUUAGUUACCAGCACGUUAUGGUGGGCACUCUAAGGAGACUGCCGGUGACAACCGGAGGAAGGUGGGGAGUGACGUCAAGUCAUCAUGGCCCUUACGGCCUGGGCUACACACGUGCUACAAUGGUCGGUACAAAGGGUUGCCAAGCCGCGAGGUGGAGCUAAUCCCAUAAAACCGAAUCGUAGUCCGGAUCGCAGUCUGCAACUUGACUGCGUGAAGUCGGAAUCGCUAGUAAUCGUGAAUCAGAAUGUCACGGUGAAUACGUUCCCGGGCCUU